Molecule: ribosomal RNA, 449 nt
Filed under: uncultured organism
Description: partial 16S ribosomal RNA
Rfam family: Bacterial small subunit ribosomal RNA
Source: RNAcentral
ACACUCCUACGGGAGGCAGCAGUGGGGAAUAUUGGACAAUGGGCGCAAGCCUGAUCCAGCCAUGCCGCGUGAGUGAUGAAGGCCCUAGGGUUGUAAAGCUCUUUCACCGGUGAAGAUAAUGACGGUAACCGGAGAAGAAGCCCCGGCUAACUUCGUGCCAGCAGCCGCGGUAAUACGAAGGGGGCUAGCGUUGUUCGGAUUUACUGGGCGUAAAGCGCACGUAGGCGGACUAUUAAGUCAGGGGUGAAAUCCCGGGGCUCAACCCCGGAACUGCCUUUGAUACUGGUAGUCUUGAGUUCGAGAGAGGUGAGUGGAAUUCCGAGUGUAGAGGUGAAAUUCGUAGAUAUUCGGAGGAACACCAGUGGCGAAGGCGGCUCACUGGCUCGAUACUGACGCUGAGGUGCGAAAGCGUGGGGAGCAAACAGGAUUAGAAACCCGGUAGUCCCAUG